This 564-nucleotide ribosomal RNA is filed under the name Triticum aestivum (bread wheat). RNAcentral's name for it is "partial small subunit ribosomal RNA". The record is from RNAcentral. Lineage: Eukaryota; Viridiplantae; Streptophyta; Magnoliopsida; Poales; Poaceae.
AUGACAACCUGCUGUUUUUCAAGGCGAAUAGUAUGUGAGCGAUGGAGGUGUAGCCAGCGAAUUAAUUAUGCAAAAUCAUCUAUCUUCUUCAGCAAAGGGGUUCCAGAAAAUAUCCGCAAUGACAUAAAGGGCCUCUUGCAUGUACCAAAUGAGACACUGAAUGAAAAAUAUUUGGGUAUGCCUUCUGACAUCGGUUCCUCAAAGAAUGGUCCUUUCAAAUAUUUGAAGGAUAGAUUGUGGAGUAGGAUUCAAGGAUGGAUAGAGAAGUCUCUGUCCACGGCUGGAAAAGAGGUUCUUGUUAAGGCGGUUGCUCAGGCGGUGCCAGUAUACUCUAUGUCUUGCUUCAACUUACCAAGAGGGUUGUGUGAACAUUUGAAUAUGCUCAUAAGUAAAUUUUGGUGGGGGAGCAAAGAAGGUCAACGGAAGCCGCAUUGGGUUUCUUGGAAGGACAUGACUCAACCAAAAAGCAUGGGGGUUUGGGUUUCAAAAAAUUUGAGCUCUUUAAUCUGGCUAUGCAGCUGGCUAGACAAGCAUGGCAUUUGCUUCAAAACCCAGACUCACUGA